GACGAACGCUGGCGGCGUGCUUAAUACAUGCAAGUCGAACGGUUCUUUCCUCCCUAGGUCUUGUGCUCAAUUGGCAAGAGGAGUGGCGGACGGGUGAGUAACACGUCGUUAACCUACCCAUCCUUGAGGAAUAUCACUCGGAAACCGGUUCUAAUACCGUACAACAGGUUAUGCCUCAUGGCAUCAGAGUGAUAGGCGAUUUCGGGUGUCGCUGAUGGAUUGAUCCGGGGGGCGUUAGUUAGUUGGUAGGGUAACGGCUCACCCAGGCCACGAGUCGUAGACGACCUGAGAGGGUGAUCGGCCACCUGGGGACUGGGACACGCCCCAGAGUACUACGGGAGGCAGCAGUAGGGAGUGUUCGGCAAUAGACGAAAAUAUGACAGAACGAGGCCACGUGAGUGAAGGAGGCUUUCGGAUCGUAAUACUCUGUUGUUAGAGAAGAACAAGUACGUUAGUAGAUGAACGUCGAGUGACGGUAACUAAUAAAAAAGCAACGGCUAACUACGUG
RNAcentral lists this ribosomal RNA (508 nucleotides) under uncultured bacterium. Its description in RNAcentral is "partial 16S ribosomal RNA". It matches the Rfam family "Bacterial small subunit ribosomal RNA", at positions 28 to 507 of the family's 1533-position model. The record is from RNAcentral.